CAUCCGGCAUCUAUAAUGCAGUCGAGCGGACAGAUGGGAGCUUGCUCCCUGAUGUUAGCGGCGGACGGGAGAGUAACACGUGGGUAACCUGCCUGUAAGACUGGGAUAACUCCGGGAAACCGGGGCUAAUACCGGAUGGUUGUCUGAACCGCAUGGUUCAGACAUAAAAGGUGGCUUCGGCUACCACUUACAGAUGGACCCGCGGCGCAUUAGCUAGUUGGUGAGGUAACGGCUCACCAAGGCGACGAUGCGUAGCCGACCUGAGAGGGUGAUCGGCCACACUGGGACUGAGACACGGCCCAGACUCCUACGGGAGGCAGCAGUAGGGAAUCUUCCGCAAUGGACGAAAGUCUGACGGAGCAACGCCGCGUGAGUGAUGAAGGUUUUCGGAUCGUAAAGCUCUGUUGUUAGGGAAGAACAAGUGCCGUUCAAAUAGGGCGGCACCUUGACGGUACCUAACCAGAAAGCCACGGCUAACUACGUGCCAGCAGCCGCGGUAAUACGUAGGUGGCAAGCGUUGUCCGGAAUUAUUGGGCGUAAAGGGCUCGCAGGCGGUUUCUUAAGUCUGAUGUGAAAGCCCCCGGCUCAACCGGGGAGGGUCAUUGGAAACUGGGGAACUUGAGUGCAGAAGAGGAGAGUGGAAUUCCACGUGUAGCGGUGAAAUGCGUAGAGAUGUGGAGGAACACCAGUGGCGAAGGCGACUCUCUGGUCUGUAACUGACGCUGAGGAGCGAAAGCGUGGGGAGCGAACAGGAUUAGAUACCCUGGUAGUCCACGCCGUAAACGAUGAGUGCUAAGUGUUAGGGGGUUUCCGCCCCUUAGUGCUGCAGCUAACGCAUUAAGCACUCCGCCUGGGGAGUACGGUCGCAAGACUGAAACUCAAAGGAAUUGACGGGGGCCCGCACAAGCGGUGGAGCAUGUGGUUUAAUUCGAAGCAACGCGAAGAACCUUACCAGGUCUUGACAUCCUCUGACAAUCCUAGAGAUAGGACGUCCCCUUCGGGGGCAGAGUGACAGGUGGGUGCAUGGUUUGUCGUCAGCUCGUGUCGUGAGAUUGUUGGGUUUAAGUCCCGCACGAGCGCAUCCUUUGAUCCUAGCUGCAGCCAUCAGGUUGGGCCACCUUCUAAGGUGAACUGACCGGGGGUGAACCAAAAAAAC
RNAcentral lists this ribosomal RNA (1156 nucleotides) under Bacillus velezensis. RNAcentral's name for it is "bacterial SSU rRNA". It matches the Rfam family "Bacterial small subunit ribosomal RNA", at positions 36 to 1174 of the family's 1533-position model. Lineage: Bacteria; Bacillati; Bacillota; Bacilli; Caryophanales; Bacillaceae. The record is from RNAcentral.